Molecule: long non-coding RNA, 328 nt
Organism: Drosophila navojoa
Lineage: Eukaryota; Metazoa; Arthropoda; Insecta; Diptera; Drosophilidae
Source: RefSeq, a predicted model, not a curated record
UAACACAUUGUUUGGUCACAUAGUUUUACGACUGAAGAGAAAAAAGAAAAUGCGUAGAGCAUUUCGUUCUCCACCUGUUGACUCAGUUUCGUACUCAAAUUUGGUGGGAUUUAUUUUCAUAUUCAAUCUUAUUGUCGGAACUGGAGCGCUAACUCUACCAGGAGUAUUUGCGAAAUCAGGAUGGUGUCUAAGCUCUGUUGUGAUAAUAUUAUUAGCUCUUGUAAGCUACAUCACAGUAACAUUUGUUAUCGAAGCCAUGGCUGGUGCGAAUGCGAUAAAAAUUUGGCAGAGUCUUCAAGCUUUACGUUACAAGCGCAAUUCAAAUGAA